This 1444-nucleotide long non-coding RNA is filed under the name Sus scrofa (pig). Its description in RNAcentral is "lncRNA (ENSSSCG00005012345.1)". The record is from RNAcentral. Lineage: Eukaryota; Metazoa; Chordata; Mammalia; Artiodactyla; Suidae.
UAACUGCAUUCUCUCUUCUAAUGGAGAGUCAUUAUGACUGAGUGGGAACAAAGGGUAGUUUUCACCUCUAAUUUUCCUGAAUAAUUUUAAAUUUCAACUUCUGGCACUAUUCACUGGUUACUACUGAUUAAAACUUACUAAGUAGCAAAGUGUUUUUCUUUGAUUGCUUUUUUGUUUCUUCUUAGUGUCUACCCAUGGCAUAAGGAGGUUCCCAAGGCUGGGGGUCAAAAUAGAUUGGUAGCCCCUGGCCGUCACCACAGCCACAGCAAUGCCAGAUCCGAGCUGCAUGUUUGACCUACUCCAGAGCUCAUGGCAAUGUGGGAUCCUUAACCCACCAAGCAAGGCCAGCUACCGAACCUGCAUCCUCAUGGAUACUAGUCAGAUUCAUUUCUGCAGAGCCAUGACAGAAACUCACUCAUUGCUAUCUUUUAAGUAUUACUAUCUCUGUGAAGAAACCAAAGUGACAAAUUAACACUAGAAGACCCACCUGCUGUGUAUGUAGCACAUGGAACUGUAUCCACUCACUUGUGAUAGAACGUUUUGAAAGAGAAUAGGAGAAAAAGAAUGUAUAUACAUGUAUGUCUGGGUCACUUUGCUGUAAGGAGAAAUAGAACAUUCUCAAUUAACUAUAAUAAAAAAUUUAAAAAUUAAAACCAUGAGACCUAGAAGUGAAAAAUAAUUGGAGAACAGAGACAGACAUAUCAUUGGGAUAUUACACUGUGUGAAGAGCCAGAUCAUUGAAUGAACUUUUUCUCUAACAAGACACAUUUUAAGGUAAGCAUAUUUAUCCACAGAUUAUCCUUAAAACAAGAAGAAGAGCAAAGAAAAAAGGCAGAUAUGUUAUCUGAAGAAAUUAGAGAGCAGUUAAGAAGAGAAGAAGAGCAAUGUAGUAAAGAAACUGAAUUGAAACAGCAACUUGAACUCACUCUUGAAGUACUACAAGGGGAACUGAAGACUGUGAGAAAUAAGGCAAACCAGGUAAAUUAAUCCUUGGUGAAAUUUUCACAUUUCUAACACCAUGUCACCAGUAUUAUUUAUCCUGUCCCUUUGAUUUAAUAUGUAUCAUUUAGGUCUGAAACAAAUAAAAUGUCAUCUCCUCCUAAAUAUGAACCCUGCCAUUUACAGCUAAAUUAUUCACUUGCACUUCUUGGCUUCUAAGAGCCCUGUAUAUAUUUUAUGAAUGGAGGAAUGCUAGGUAAAUUGAGCUUCCUCAUGAAAGUAAUGAUUGGCAUUUUGGGUCCAUUCAACAAAGUAAUAUUCUAAGCUGGUACAACCACUAUGGAGAACAGUAUGUAGGGACCUUAGAAAACUGUACAUAGAACAAUCAUAUGACCCAGCAAUCCCACUCAUGGGCAUAGAUCUACUUUGUCCUUUGCUUUUCUUUUUUUUUCUUUCUUGGCCGCCCAGCAGCAUAUGGAAUUCCCAGGCAACUCCAAGCCGCAUU